Molecule: ribosomal RNA, 514 nt
Filed under: unidentified beta proteobacterium Me15
Lineage: Bacteria; Pseudomonadati; Pseudomonadota; Betaproteobacteria
Description: bacterial SSU rRNA
Rfam family: Bacterial small subunit ribosomal RNA
Source: RNAcentral
UGGGGGAUAACGCAUCGAAAGAUUCGCUAAUACCGCAUACGCCCUACGGGGGAAAGCAGGGGAUCGUAAGACCUUGCGUUAAUGNGAGCGNCCGAUAUCUGAUUAGCUUGUUCGUGAGGUAAAGGCUCACCAAGGCGACGAUCAGUAGCUGGUUUGAGAGAAUGACCAGCCACACUGGAACUGAGACACGGUCCAGACUCCUACGGGAGGCAGCAGUGGGGAAUUUUGGACAAUGGGGGCAACCCUGAUCCAGCCAUUCCGCGUGAGUGAAGAAGGCCUUCGGGUUGUAAAGCUCUUUCGCAAGGGAAGAAAACUUAUGAUCGAAUAAAUCAUGAGGUNUGACGGUACCUUGAUAAGAAGCACCGGCUAACUACGUGCCAGCAGCCGCGGUAAUACGUAGGGUGCGAGCGUUAAUCGGAAUUACUGGGCGUAAAGCGUGCGCAGGCGGUUUUGUAAGUCGGAUGUGAAAUCCCCGGGCUCAACNUGGGAACUGCGUUUGAAACUACAAGGCUAG